RNAcentral lists this ribosomal RNA (1345 nucleotides) under uncultured fungus. RNAcentral describes it as "eukaryotic LSU rRNA". The stretch from base 661 to 1345 matches the Rfam family "Eukaryotic large subunit ribosomal RNA", at positions 1 to 667 of the family's 3401-position model. The record is from RNAcentral. Lineage: Eukaryota; Fungi.
CUUGGUCAUUUAGAGGAAGUAAAAGUCGUAACAAGGUUUCCGUAGGUGAACCUGCGGAAGGAUCAUUAUCGAGUAUGACGUGGGUUUGAUGCUGGCCUAUCCCAAAGGCAUGUGCUCGCCCCGCUAAUCCACUCAACACCUGUGCACCUUUGAGGUGUUACCCUCCGGUCUUUUGACAGGAGCCGUUCCCUUCGUUUACGAAGGUUGAACUGGGGUUGCACCUCUAUUAUACACAAACCAUUACAAAAGUACAGUAGAAUGUCAUCCGCCGUCAUAGGCAAAAAUAAAUACAACUUUCAACAACGGAUCUCUUGGCUCUCGCAUCGAUGAAGAACGCAGCGAAAUGCGAUAAGUAAUGUGAAUUGCAGAAUUCAGUGAAUCAUCGAAUCUUUGAACGCACCUUGCGCUCCUUGGUAUUCCGAGGAGCAUGCCUGUUUGAGUGUCAUGAAAUUCUCAACCCCUUGUGCUUUUGCGAGCUGCAAGGAGGCUUGGAUUUGGGGGACUGUGUUGGCCUAGUCGGUCGACUCCCCUUGAAUGCAUUAGCUGGACUGUCCGUCUUGUUAACGGUUCGCGGUGUGAUACACUAUCUACGCCCCGGUAAUCCCGUCUUUCAGGUCUGGUCAAGCUUUCUAAUCGUCUUCGGACAAUUCAUCUAUUAUCUGACCUCAAAUCAGGUAGGACUACCCGCUGAACUUAAGCAUAUCAAUAAGCGGAGGAAAAGAAACUAACAAGNGAUUCCCCNUARUNAACUGCGNAGUGAARCGGAAAAGCUCAAUUAAAAUCUGACGGUUAUGCCGUCCGAGUUGUAAUCUGGAGAAGUGUUUUUCCGCGUUGGACCCAUGUACAAGUCUCUUGGAACAGAGCGUCAUAGAGGGUGAGAAUCCCGUCUUUGACAUGGACUACCAAUGCUUUGUGAUACGCUCUCAAAGAGUCGAGUUGUUUGGGAAUGCAGCUCAAAAUGGGUGGUAAAUUCCAUCUAAAGCUAAAUAUUGGCGAGAGACCGAUAGCGAACAAGUACCGUGAGGGAAAGAUGAAAAGCACUUUGGAAAGAGAGUUAAACAGUACGUGAAAUUGUUGAAAGGGAAACGCUUGAAGUCAGUCGCGUCGUCCGGGACUCAGCCUUGCUUCUGCUUGGUGUACUUCCUGGUUGACGGGCCAACAUCGAUUUUGAUCGGCGGAUAAAGGUGAAGGGAAUGUGGCACCUCCGGGUGUGUUAUAGCCCUUUGUCAGAUACGUCGAUUGGGAUUGAGGACCGCAGCACGCCUUUUUGGCCGGGGUUCGCCCAUGUAACGUGCUUAGGAUGUUGGCAUAAUGGCUUUAAGCGACCCGUCUUGAAACACGGACC